This 316-nucleotide ribosomal RNA is filed under the name uncultured bacterium. Its description in RNAcentral is "bacterial SSU rRNA". It matches the Rfam family "Bacterial small subunit ribosomal RNA", at positions 28 to 334 of the family's 1533-position model. The record is from RNAcentral.
GAUGAACGCUAGCGGCAGGCUUAACACAUGCAAGUCGCGGGGCAGCGGGGGAUGAGCUUGCUCAUCCCGCCGGCGACCGGCGCACGGGUGAGUAACACGUAUGCAACCUGCCCCUGUCAGGGGGACAACCCACCGAAAGGUGGGCUAAACCCGCGUACAUCCGGAGGGGGCAUCCCCUUGGGAGGAAAGGAGCGAUCCGGACAGGGAUGGGCAUGCGGCGCAUUAGCUAGACGGCGGGGUAACGGCCCACCGUGGCGACGAUGCGUAGGGGUUCUGAGAGGAAGGCCCCCCACAUUGGAACUGAGACACGGUCCAA